RNAcentral lists this ribosomal RNA (483 nucleotides) under uncultured bacterium. RNAcentral's name for it is "partial 16S ribosomal RNA". It matches the Rfam family "Bacterial small subunit ribosomal RNA", at positions 28 to 507 of the family's 1533-position model. The record is from RNAcentral.
GACGAACGCUGGCGGCGUGCUUAACACAUGCAAGUCGAACGCUGAAGCUCAGCUUUUGUUGGGUGGAUGAGUGGCGAACGGGUGAGUAACACGUGAGUAACCUGCCCCCUUCUUUGGGAUAACGCCCGGAAACGGGUGCUAAUACUGGAUAUUCACUGGUCUUCGCAUGGGGGUUGGUGGAAAGGGUUUUUCUGGUGGGGGAUGGGCUCGCGGCCUAUCAGCUUGUUGGUGGGGUGAUGGCCUACCAAGGCUUUGACGGGUAGCCGGCCUGAGAGGGUGACCGGUCACAUUGGGACUGAGAUACGGCCCAGACUCCUACGGGAGGCAGCAGUGGGGAAUAUUGCACAAUGGGCGCAAGCCUGAUGCAGCGACGCCGCGUGAGGGAUGGAGGCCGUCGGGUUGUGAACCUCUUUCGCUCAUGGUCAAGCCGCAACAAUGGUUGUGGUGAGGGUAGUGGGUAAAGAAGCGCCGGCUAACUACGUG